This 356-nucleotide ribosomal RNA is filed under the name Carabus hemprichi hemprichi. RNAcentral's name for it is "partial 12S ribosomal RNA". The record is from RNAcentral. Lineage: Eukaryota; Metazoa; Arthropoda; Insecta; Coleoptera; Carabidae.
UUUAAAUGUAAAAUAAAUAUACUAAAGUAGUAUUAGUUAUGUUCUUGAAAUUUAAAGAUUUUGGCGGUAUUUUAGUCUAUUUAGAGGAGCCUGUUCUAUGAUUGAUAAUCCACGAUUAAUUUUACUUAAUUUAUAUAAAUUUGUAUACCGUCGUUAUAAGAAGAUUUUAAAAGAAUAUAAAUUUUUAAUAUUUUAUAUAAAAAAAUAUAUCAGAUCAAGGUGCAGUUUAUAGUUAAGAAGAAAUGGGCUACAAUAAAUUUAUUUAUAUGGAUUAAAGUAAGAAUUUGACUUUAUGAAAGUGGAUUUAAUAGUAAUAAAAUUAAUUUAAAUUUUAUGAUUUUAGCUCUAAAAUAUGU